RNAcentral lists this ribosomal RNA (943 nucleotides) under uncultured bacterium. RNAcentral describes it as "bacterial SSU rRNA". It matches the Rfam family "Bacterial small subunit ribosomal RNA", at positions 8 to 983 of the family's 1533-position model. The record is from RNAcentral.
AGAGUUUGAUCCUGGCUCAGAAUCAACGCUGGCGGCGUGCCUAACACAUGCAAGUCGAACGAGAAAGUGGUAGCAAUACCAUGAGUAAAGUGGCGCACGGGUGAGUAACACGUGACUAACCUACCCUUGAGUGGGGGAUAACUGAGGGAAACCUUAGCUAAUACCGCAUAAUACCUACGGGUCAAAGGAGCAAUUCGCUUAAGGAGGGGGUCGCGGCCGAUUAGUUAGUUGGCAGGGUAACGGCCUACCAAGACGAUGAUCGGUAUCCGGCCUGAGAGGGCGCACGGACACACUGGAACUGAAACACGGUCCAGACUCCUACGGGAGGCAGCAGUGGGGAAUUUUGCGCAAUGGGGGAAACCCUGACGCAGCAACGCCGCGUGGAGGAUGAAGUCCUUCGGGACGUAAACUCCUUUCGAUCGGGACGAUUAUGACGGUACCGGAAGAAGAAGCCCCGGCUAACUUCGUGCCAGCAGCCGCGGUAAUACGAGGGGGGCGAGCGUUGUUCGGAAUUAUUGGGCGUAAAGGGUGCGUAGGCGGUUUGGUAAGUCUUUUGUGAAAUCUCUGGGCUCAACUCAGAGCUUGCAGGAGAAACUGCCGGGCUUGAGUGUGGGAGAGGUGAGUGGAAUUCCUGGUGUAGCGGUGAAAUGCGUAGAUAUCAGGAGGAACACCUGUGGCGAAAGCGGCUCACUGGACCACAACUGACGCUGAUGCACGAAAGCUAGGGGAGCAAACAGGAUUAGAUACCCUGGUAGUCCUAGCCCUAAACGAUGACUGCUUGGUGUGACGGGUACCCAAUCCCGCCGUGCCGUAGCUAACGCGUUAAGCAGUCCGCCUGGGGAGUACGGUCGCAAGGCUGAACUCAAGGAAUUGACGGGGCCCGCACAAGCGGUGGAGCAUGUGGUUUAAUUCGACGCAACGCGAAGAACCUUACCUGGGCUCG